Molecule: ribosomal RNA, 1372 nt
Filed under: uncultured bacterium
Lineage: Bacteria
Description: bacterial SSU rRNA
Rfam family: Bacterial small subunit ribosomal RNA
Source: RNAcentral
GAUGAACGCUGGCGGCGUGCCUAAUACAUGCAAGUCGAGCGAACAGAUAAGGAGCUUGCUCCUUUGAAGUUAGCGGCGGACGGGUGAGUAACACGUGGGUAACCUACCUAUAAGACUGGGAUAACUUCGGGAAACCGGAGCUAAUACCGGAUAACAUUUAGAACCGCAUGGCUCUAAAGUGAAAGAUGGUUUUGCUAUCACUUAUAGAUGGACCCGCGCCGUAUUAGCUAGUUGGUAAGGUAACGGCUUACCAAGGCGACGAUACGUAGCCGACCUGAGAGGGUGAUCGGCCACACUGGAACUGAGACACGGUCCAGACUCCUACGGGAGGCAGCAGUAGGGAAUCUUCCGCAAUGGGCGAAAGCCUGACGGAGCAACGCCGCGUGAGUGAUGAAGGGUUUCGGCUCGUAAAACUCUGUUAUUAGGGAAGAACAGAUGUGUAAGUAACUGUGCACAUCUUGACGGUACCUAAUCAGAAAGCCACGGCUAACUACGUGCCAGCAGCCGCGGUAAUACGUAGGUGGCAAGCGUUAUCCGGAAUUAUUGGGCGUAAAGCGCGCGUAGGCGGUUUCUUAAGUCUGAUGUGAAAGCCCACGGCUCAACCGUGGAGGGUCAUUGGAAACUGGGAAACUUGAGUGCAGAAGAGGAAAGUGGAAUUCCAUGUGUAGCGGUGAAAUGCGCAGAGAUAUGGAGGAACACCAGUGGCGAAGGCGACUUUCUGGUCUGUAACUGACGCUGAUGUGCGAAAGCGUGGGGAUCAAACAGGAUUAGAUACCCUGGUAGUCCACGCCGUAAACGAUGAGUGCUAAGUGUUAGGGGGUUUCCGCCCCUUAGUGCUGCAGCUAACGCAUUAAGCACUCCGCCUGGGGAGUACGACCGCAAGGUUGAAACUCAAAGGAAUUGACGGGGACCCGCACAAGCGGUGGAGCAUGUGGUUUAAUUCGAAGCAACGCGAAGAACCUUACCAAAUCUUGACAUCCUUUGAAAACUCUAGAGAUAGAGCCUUCCCCUUCGGGGGACAAAGUGACAGGUGGUGCAUGGUUGUCGUCAGCUCGUGUCGUGAGAUGUUGGGUUAAGUCCCGCAACGAGCGCAACCCUUAAGCUUAGUUGCCAUCAUUAAGUUGGGCACUCUAGGUUGACUGCCGGUGACAAACCGGAGGAAGGUGGGGAUGACGUCAAAUCAUCAUGCCCCUUAUGAUUUGGGCUACACACGUGCUACAAUGGACAAUACAAAGGGCAGCUAAACCGCGAGGUCAUGCAAAUCCCAUAAAGUUGUUCUCAGUUCGGAUUGUAGUCUGCAACUCGACUACAUGAAGCUGGAAUCGCUAGUAAUCGUAGGUCAGCAUGCUACGGUGAAUACGUUCCCGGGUCU